RNAcentral lists this ribosomal RNA (1698 nucleotides) under human gut metagenome. RNAcentral describes it as "bacterial LSU rRNA". It matches the Rfam family "Bacterial large subunit ribosomal RNA", at positions 811 to 2522 of the family's 2925-position model. The record is from RNAcentral.
GAGGGUAGGGGUGAAAGGCUAAUCAAACUUGGAGAUAGCUCGUACUCCCCGAAAUGCAUUUAGGUGCAGCCUUGCGGGUUACUGAUGUGAGGUAGAGCGACUGAUUGGAUGCGAGGGCUUCACCGCCUAUCAAGUCCUGACAAACUCCGAAUGCGCAUCAGUUCUACCGCAGGAGUGAGGGCAUGGGUGCUAAGGUCCGUGCCCGAGAGGAGAAGAAUCCGGACCACCUGCUAAGGUCCCGAAAUGACAGCUAAGUUAAACUAACGAAGUCUGACUGCUAAGACAGCUAGGAUGUUGGCUUGGAAGCAGCCAUUCAUUUAAAGAGUGCGUAACAGCUCACUAGUCGAGGAAUCGGGCGUGGAUAAUAAUCGGGUAUCAAGUUGUCUACCGAAGCCGUGGGAUCAGCAAUGAUCGGUAGGGGAGCAUUCCAUUCUGCGUCGAAGGCGUGGCGUGAGCCAUUCUGGAGCGUAUGGAAAAGCAAAUGUAGGUAUAAGUAACGAUAAAGGGGGUGAGAAACCCCCUCGCCGAAAGACUAAGGUUUCCUGAUCAACGCUAAUCGGAUCAGGGUCAGUCGGGUCCUAAGGCUCAGCCGAACGGCGAGGCCGAUGGCAGAAACGGUUAAUAUUCCGUUACUACCUUUGAGGGUGACGUGGGGAAGCAGUAGUGACACUGCCGCGGGCUGACGGAAUAGCCCGUUAAAGAGUGUAGGCGUUGAUUUCCGCAGGCAAAUCCACGGAAAGAGCCGAACUUGACAGUAUGGAGCGUCCUUCGGGACAAUCCAAUAGCGCAGGUAAUCAGACUGCCGAGAAAAUCCGCUAAACAUAACUUCAGAGGUACCCGUACCGCAAACGGACACACGUAGUCGGGUUGAAUAUACUAAGGCGCUUGGGUGAAUCACGGUUAAGGAACUAGGCAAACUGACCCUGUAACUUCGGGAUAAAGGGUCCCUCCUCGCAAGAGAGGGCGCAGAGAAUAGGUCCAGGCAACUGUUUAACAAAAACACAGGGCUGUGCGAAUAUGAAAGUAGAAGUAUACAGCCUGACACCUGCCCGGUGCUGGAAGGUUAAGAGGAGAUGUCAUCGCAAGAGAAGCAUUGAAUUGAAGCCCCAGUAAACGGCGGCCGUAACUAUAACGGUCCUAAGGUAGCGAAAUUCCUUGUCGGGUAAGUUCCGACCUGCACGAAUGGUGUAAUGAUCCGGACGCUGUCUCAACCGUGAGCCCAGUGAAAUUGUAGUAUCGGUGAAGAUGCCGAUUACCCGCGAUGGGACGAAAAGACCCCGUGAACCUUUACUAUAGCUUAGCAUUGAAUUUGGGCACGCGAUGUGUAGGAUAGGUCGGAGGCUUUGAAGCAGGCACGCCAGUGUUUGUGGAGCCGCUGUUGAAAUACGACCCUUUGUUUGUUUGAAUUCUAACUCUUGGUAAGAGGACAUUGCUUGGUGGGUAGUUUGACUGGGGUGGUCGCCUCCAAAAGCGUAACGGAGGCUUCUAAAGGUGCCCUCAGGACGAUCGGUAACCGUCCGCAGAGUGUAAUGGCAGAAGGGCGCUUGACUGGGAGACAGACAAGUCGAGCAGGUAGGAAACUAGAGCAUAGUGAUCCGGUGUUUCCGUAUGGAAGGGACAUCGCUCAAAGGAUAAAAGGUACUCCGGGGAUAACAGGCUGAUCCCUCCCAAGAGCUCAUAUCGACGGAGUGGUUUGGC